GUGGGGAAUAUUGCACAAUGGGGGAAACCCUGAUGCAGCGACGCCGCGUGAGUGAAGAAGUAUUUCGGUACGUAAAGCUCUAUCAGCAAGGAAGAAAAUGACGGUACUUGACUAAGAAGCCCCGGCUAACUACGUGCCAGCAGCCGCGGUAAUACGUAGGGGGCAAGCGUUAUCCGGAUUUACUGGGUGUAAAGGGAGCGUAGACGGUAUGGUAAGUCAGAUGUGAAAGCCCGGGGCUCAACCUCGGGACUGCAUUUGAAACUAUCAGACUAGAGUGCAGGAGAGGUAAGUGGAAUUCCUAGUGUAGCGGUGAAAUGCGUAGAUAGUAGGAGGAACACCAGUGGCGAAGGCGGCUUACUGGACUGUAACUGACGUUGAGGCUCGAAAGCGUGGGGAGCAAACAGGAUUAGAUACCCCGGUAGUCC
Molecule: ribosomal RNA, 425 nt
Filed under: uncultured bacterium
Lineage: Bacteria
Description: partial 16S ribosomal RNA
Rfam family: Bacterial small subunit ribosomal RNA
Source: RNAcentral